CGAGGCUUGACAUCCCGCGAAGGUCUGGGAAACCAGACUGUGCCUUCGGGAACGCGGUGACAGAUGCUGCAUGGCCGUCGUCAGCUCGUGUCGUGAGAUGUUUGGUUAAGUCCAUCAACGAGCGCAACCCUCGUGAUUAGUUAUAUUUUCUAAUCAGACCGCCCGGGCCAACCGGGAGGAAGGUGGGGAUGACGUCUGGUCAGCAUGGCUCUUACGCCUCGGGCUACACACGUCCUACAAUGGCCACUACAACGCGUUGCCAAACCGUAAGGUGGAGCUAAUCGCACCAAAAGUGGUCCCAGUUCGGAUUGAGGGCUGAAACUCGCCCUCAUGAAGUUGGAUUUGCUAGUAAUGGCAGGUCAGCAAUACUGCCGUGAAUACGUUCCC
This 387-nucleotide ribosomal RNA is filed under the name uncultured bacterium. Its description in RNAcentral is "bacterial SSU rRNA". It matches the Rfam family "Bacterial small subunit ribosomal RNA", at positions 975 to 1375 of the family's 1533-position model. The record is from RNAcentral.